ACAUAACCUUUAGCCAAACAAAUAUUAAAGGCAACGCCUGCCCAGUGAACAAUUAAACGGCCGCGGUACACUAACCGUGCAAAGGUAGCAUAAUAAUUUGUCUACUAAUUAUAGACCUGCAUGAAAGGCAAAAUGAGGGCUUGACUGUCUCUUAUAGUAAAUCAAUUAAACUGAUCUCCUAGUAAAAAAGCUAGAAUUACCACAUAAGACCAGAAGACCCUGUGAAGCUUAAACUAAACUAUUAAACCAAAUAAUAACUACUUUAGGUUGGGGCGACCUUGGAAAAAGAAUAACUUCAAAAGUCUAACGACACAAACAGGCCGACAAGCCAAUCAAACGACCCAGCAACGCUGAAAAUUGAACCAAGUUACUCCAGGGAUAACAGCGCAAUCUUCUUCAAGAGCCCAUAUCAAAAAGAAGGUUUACGACCUCGAUGUUGGAUCAGGACAUCCUAAUGGUGCAGAAGCUAUUAAGGGUUCGUUUGUUCAACGAUUAAUGUCCUACG
This 505-nucleotide ribosomal RNA is filed under the name Ahaetulla prasina. RNAcentral's name for it is "partial 16S ribosomal RNA". It matches the Rfam family "Bacterial large subunit ribosomal RNA", at positions 1813 to 2600 of the family's 2925-position model. Lineage: Eukaryota; Metazoa; Chordata; Lepidosauria; Squamata; Colubridae. The record is from RNAcentral.